GACGAACGCUGGCGGCGUGCUUAACACAUGCAAGUCGUACGGUAAGGCCCUUUCGGGGGUACCCGAGUGGCGAACGGGUGAGUAACACGUGAGUAACCUGCCCACAACUUUGGGAUAACGCUAGUAAACUGGUGCUAAUACUGGAUAUGUGCUCCUGCUGCCUGGUGGGGGUUGGAAAGCUCCGGCGGUUGUGGAUGGACUCGCGGCCUAUCAGCUUGUUGGUGGGGUAGUGGCCUACCAAGGCGGCGACGGGUAGCCGGCCUGAGAGGGUGACCGGCCACAUUGGGACUGGGAUACGGCCCAGACUCCUACGGGAGGCAGCAGUGGGGAAUAUUGCACAAUGGGCGAAAGCCUGAUGCAGCAACGCCGCGGGCGGGAUGACGGCCUUCGGGUUGUAAACCGCUUUCAGCAGGGACGAAGCUUUUUGUGACGGUACCUGCAGAAGAAGCACCGGCUAACUACGUG
This 465-nucleotide ribosomal RNA is filed under the name uncultured bacterium. RNAcentral's name for it is "partial 16S ribosomal RNA". It matches the Rfam family "Bacterial small subunit ribosomal RNA", at positions 28 to 507 of the family's 1533-position model. The record is from RNAcentral.